UUUUUAACUAUUUAUUGAAUUUAUUUCAUUUCCAUGCUAUUUUUCUGAAUAUCAGUAAUCGCAAAUUAUACCAAUGAAGACGAAGAUGGUAGCAAUGCAUUUCGUAUACUGGCCUCGCCGAUGGUAAUGCAAUAGAAGCGAGAUGUAUUUAUCAGGAAAGAGCCCUGAAGAUGAAUGAAAUGUAAUUCAAAACGUUGGCUAAAAACAAAUAGUUUUCUGUAACAAUUGACCAAUCUUCACAUAAAAUACCACUUAUGAUAUUUUUUAAGAUUGUAAAGUUUUUUAAGGCAUAUAUAAACAAUUUUUAGUUUUAAGUAUAAUAGGCGGUUCGAAAGAAAGAGAACUAUUAAAAAUUA
Molecule: long non-coding RNA, 356 nt
Organism: Anthonomus grandis grandis
Lineage: Eukaryota; Metazoa; Arthropoda; Insecta; Coleoptera; Curculionidae
Exons: 2
Source: RefSeq, a predicted model, not a curated record